This 484-nucleotide ribosomal RNA is filed under the name uncultured bacterium. RNAcentral describes it as "bacterial SSU rRNA". It matches the Rfam family "Bacterial small subunit ribosomal RNA", at positions 28 to 507 of the family's 1533-position model. The record is from RNAcentral.
GAUGAACGCUAGCGGCAGGCUUAACACAUGCAAGUCGAACGGCAGCACAGGUAGCAAUACUGGGUGGCGAGUGGCGCACGGGUGCGUAACGCGUAUGCAACCUACCUUUAACUGGGAGAUAGCCCGAAGAAAUUCGGAUUAAUACCCCAUAAUAUAUGUCUUUCGCAUGUUAGACAUAUUAAAGCUUCGGCGGUUAAAGAUGGGCAUGCGUAACAUUAGCUAGUUGGUAAGGUAACGGCUUACCAAGGCUACGAUGUUUAGGGGGCCUGAGAGGGUUAUCCCCCACACUGGAACUGAGACACGGUCCAGACUCCUACGGGAGGCAGCAGUGAGGAAUAUUGGUCAAUGGACGAAAGUCUGAACCAGCCAUGCCGCGUGCAGGAAGACGGCCCUACGGGUUGUAAACUGCUUUUGUAUAGGAAUAAACCCCCGAACGUGUUCGGGGCUGAAGGUACUAUACGAAUAAGCACCGGCUAACUCCGUG